UACGUAGGGUGCGAGCGUUGUCCGGAAUUACUGGGCGUAAAGGGCGCGUAGGCGGAAUGGCAAGUCGGUCGUGAAAUCCUUCGGCUCAACCGAAGAACGUCGAUCGAAACUGCCGUUCUUGAGGAUUGCAGAGGAGACUGGAAUUCCCGGUGUAGCGGUGAAAUGUGUAGAGAUCGGGAGGAACACCGGUGGCGAAGGCGGGUCUCUGGGCAAUUCCUGACGCUGAGGCGCGAAAGCGUGGGGAGCAAACGGG
Molecule: ribosomal RNA, 253 nt
Filed under: uncultured bacterium
Lineage: Bacteria
Description: partial 16S ribosomal RNA
Rfam family: Bacterial small subunit ribosomal RNA
Source: RNAcentral